UCAUGACAGUUGUGCUGUUUUGAGAAAUUUUCUAAUUGUAAAUAAAUAUGAAUGUUGAAUAUGAAAAUCUUACAUCCAUCAUCAACUCAAUGCAUGUAGUGCUUUACUAUGUUUUCCCUCUACAACUCACAGUAUCAGCAUUCCUCCUUGACUUCUUUAAUCUGCACAUUAAUCCUACAUAUCACACUAAUGUAAACAUGCUGGUACUCUCUAAAUACUUCCACACACUCACAGGCUCUUUUGACUUUGCAGAGCUGCUGCUGGGACAGAGGCACUGCAGCGGAGAGAGAGAGAGAGAGAGAGAGAGAGAGAGGGGUGGUGGAGCUGUGAGUUGCAGCUGAGGAGGGUUUCCGGAUUGUCCUGGAGCACAUUUGGCCCGUGACCUGGAAACCGAUCGAACUCAGCCAUCUUGCAGGGCAUCUCAAUUCUCCAAUUGCACUGCGAGGAGGCGAGGAACGAGUAGCGAGAAAGCUUUCUGAGGAGUCAUGAGCGAGGAUACACAGGUGUAUACACAGGUGAAAGGAAACGAGGAUGCUCAAAUAAGAAAUGAGAAGCACACUCAGUCUCUUCCUCAUAUUGGAGGAAGAGCCCAAUCAACUGCUCUAUGGCCUGCCAUGUCUUAAAGCUAAAUCAUGUCAGCCAAGAGCAAAGCAAAUAAACCAGAACUGGACCUUAUCUGAGCCACAAAAUCUGUAUAUAUUAUAUAGAGUAAUAUCAGCGUUAACAAGCCUAACAAGCAGAAUCACUGAAGGAAAGAAGAGAACAGAUGAGUAGAAACACAACAAAUACAACUGACUUUCAGCCACAGCCAACUGCAAAUAAAAGAACACAUUAAUGGCUUGUUCCACCGAGCCAUACGGUUCAGUACAGUACAGUACAGUACAGUAUGGUAUGCAUUUUUUGCUGUUUCCAAGUUGUGAAUGGUACCCUAAUUACAUACUGUACCACAUUUUUGGGACCCUUACAUUGGGGUACCUAGCACAAUAGUACCAAUAGUACCUGUACCAAAAGGCUGGAGCUACACUCACUGCAGAAUGUUGAUUGGUUGACAGAGAAUCGUCACUUGCGUGUGUUACAUGUUACAAUGACAUCACACUACCAUUGCAACACAAUGGCUGUGUCCGAAAACUGGAAAAUGAUGCCUUCAAAGGACACGUUUCAAGGUAGGAAGGCAUCAAAGCACGUCCGAAUCCAAGCAUCAUUUCCUGUUUCUUGAGCUACCUUCAUCUGAUCGAUUUAUGAAGGCAGCAUAUGUAUCCUUUGCUGCCUUUGCUAUCCUACAAACCUGUAUUCUCCAUUCUUUGACAGUUGAGCUAGAAAAAUAAAGAUGGCGUCCGAAAGUUGCGUUUGCUGGUCAGUUUGUGUGUAAAUGUGUUUUUGGCCAACAUUUUCCACUUUUGAUGUCAUUUCUAGCGAGAAAUUACUACUAUAGUAAUUAAAUAUUUGUUUAGUUCUCACCAAAGUUGCAAUGCUUACAGUUUAAUGAUUUUGCUGUUGAUCAUUAAACUCUUACGCUGCCUCAGAAGUCUGUCCGAAAUCAGUUUCGUGAGGUGCCUUCAUGCACAAACGCUGCCUUACAAGUCAGCUGCCUAGGUUUUCGGUUGCAGCCCCUGUGUAUUUUUCUGGUGUUUUUCCUUGCAGCCUUCAGCCUUGCUUAAACAAAGCUGCUGUAUGUCCUCCAUUGUUGUUUACUGUCACUCUCUUCUUCACACGAGAAUGACGUUGAUCGCUACUUUCCGGUGUUGUGUGAACUCCUACCGUCGCCAAAUUAUUACACCUAUUGGUUGGUUUAGAAUUAGGCUAGUUGUGGGGGAGGGGUUAGGAUUAGGGGUGGAGUUAGAAUUAGGCAAUCAGAUAGAGACUUCAAUGAGGGGGGUAAAAAUUUGACAGGGAGUCGAAAUUCGGCACAACACCUGCAUACACCCCGCCUAGUAUAAAGUUAGGGUACUGUUACCGGUGGAAACGCAAGCCGGAUCAGGGUUUACUGACCCAAGUAAACAGUGCUGUAGGCUACUGUACUGAACUGAACCCUACCGCUUGGUGAAAACGAGCCAGUAAGUCUCUCAAGAUCGGCUAUCGGCUAGAGGAUGACUAAACCACUCCAAAAAAAAAAAAAAAAAAAAAAAGGAAAGGAAAAAUAAUUAUCAUUUACUUCAGACUUAUUACAAACCAGUUUGACUUUAUGUCUGUCAUACAUCUACAAAAGUUCAAAAGAACGAACAGGGGUUUAUCUCCAGAUAAUGUUAUUGAGUUUCAUUUUUAGUGUAUGCUUUAGUUGGGCUCUUGAAGUUAAUUUUCUUUCAACAAUUCCAAUAGUGUUUUAUUAAAGGCACUUGUUGUUACAGGAAUAGACUGAAGAA
This is a long non-coding RNA of Megalobrama amblycephala (Wuchang bream), 2360 nucleotides long. RefSeq lists it as uncharacterized. The transcript has 2 exons. NCBI's taxonomy places the organism in Eukaryota, Metazoa, Chordata, Actinopteri, Cypriniformes, Xenocyprididae. The record is from RefSeq and is a predicted model, not a curated record.